Molecule: ribosomal RNA, 253 nt
Filed under: uncultured prokaryote
Description: partial 16S ribosomal RNA
Rfam family: Bacterial small subunit ribosomal RNA
Source: RNAcentral
UACGUAGGGGGCAAGCGUUAUCCGGAAUCACUGGGCGUAAAGCGUCCGCAGGUGGGAAAGUAAGUUAAAUGUAAAAUCCCGAUGCUCAACAUCGGAUGCGUAUUUAAAACUACUUUUCUAGAGGAUGGGAGAGGCGAGUGGAAUUCUCGGUGUAGGGGUAAAAUCCGUAGAUAUCGAGAGGAACACCAAAAGCGAAGGCAGCUCGCUGGAACAUUCCUGACACUCAUGGACGAAAGCGUGGGGAGCGAAAAGG